This 468-nucleotide ribosomal RNA is filed under the name uncultured bacterium. Its description in RNAcentral is "partial 16S ribosomal RNA". It matches the Rfam family "Bacterial small subunit ribosomal RNA", at positions 28 to 507 of the family's 1533-position model. The record is from RNAcentral.
GACGAACGCUGGCGGCGUGCUUAACACAUGCAAGUCGAACGGAAAGGCCCUGCUUUUGUGGGGUGCUCGAGUGGCGAACGGGUGAGUAACACGUGAGUAACCUGCCCUUGACUUUGGGAUAACUUCAGGAAACUGGGGCUAAUACCGGAUAGGAGCUCCUGCUGCAUGGUGGGGGUUGGAAAGUUUCGGCGGUUGGGGAUGGACUCGCGGCUUAUCAGCUUGUUGGUGGGGUAGUGGCUUACCAAGGCUUUGACGGGUAGCCGGCCUGAGAGGGUGACCGGCCACAUUGGGACUGAGAUACGGCCCAGACUCCUACGGGAGGCAGCAGUGGGGAAUAUUGCACAAUGGGCGGAAGCCUGACGCAGCAACGCCGCGUGCGGGAUGACGGCCUUCGGGUUGUAAACCGCUUUCGCCUGUGACGAAGCGUGAGUGACGGUAAUGGGUAAAGAAGCACCAGCUAACUACGUG